UUUUAUUUGAGAGUUUGAUCCUGGCUCAGGAUGAACGCUGGCGGCGUGCCUAACACAUGCAAGUUGAGCGAUUUACUUCGGUAAAGAGCGGCGGACGGGUGAGUAACGCGUGGGUAACCUACCCUGUACACACGGAUAACAUACCGAAAGGUAUGCUAAUACGGGAUAAUAUAUUGGAGAGGCAUCUCUUGAAUAUCAAAGGUGGGCCAGUACAGGAUGGACCCGCGUCUGAUUAGCUAGUUGGUAAGGUAACGGCUUACCAAGGCGACGAUCAGUAGCCGACCUGAGAGGGUGAUCGGCCACAUUGGAACUGAGACACGGUCCAAACUCCUACGGGAGGCAGCAGUGGGGAAUAUUGCACAAUGGGCGAAAGCCUGAUGCAGCAACGCCGCGUGAGUGAUGAAGGCCUUCGGGUCGUAAAACUCUGUCCUCAAGGAAGAUAAUGACGGUACUU
RNAcentral lists this ribosomal RNA (454 nucleotides) under Clostridioides difficile. Its description in RNAcentral is "bacterial SSU rRNA". It matches the Rfam family "Bacterial small subunit ribosomal RNA", at positions 1 to 480 of the family's 1533-position model. The record is from RNAcentral. Lineage: Bacteria; Bacillati; Bacillota; Clostridia; Peptostreptococcales; Peptostreptococcaceae.